Long non-coding RNA from Brassica napus (rape), 1243 nucleotides. RefSeq lists it as uncharacterized. NCBI's taxonomy places the organism in Eukaryota, Viridiplantae, Streptophyta, Magnoliopsida, Brassicales, Brassicaceae. The record is from RefSeq and is a predicted model, not a curated record. The transcript has 5 exons.
CCAAAACAAUGAGUUUAGCCGCAAGAGGAUUAGGAUUUCGCAUUCUUAGCGAAGAGUUUCUUCUCUGAUACAUCGAUAGAGUUUUGAUGUUCUCAAUCCACGUUUUGAUAUGGUGUUAUGUCUUCUCUUUGUGUAAACGAAACGUCUCCCCUAAAUAAUUCAUCCUCUUUAUUUCAUCACCCCCUAAGAGCACGAUCUGUUUUUAAUGAUAGCAAAGAAGUUGUAGGUUCAUAUCUAUCGUUUCUGUUUUCCAUCAACAUGUCCUUCUCUGAUUCAAGUGGGCAUGGGACACCCGUGACAGUCUAACGACGUUUCAGGGUUGCUACACGAGAUUCUUGGAUCUACGAAAACAAAGAGAUUCAAAAGCUUGGAAGGUGCUUUCAAAAUAUCUACGGAGAGAGAAAAAUUUUGAUUUCUCAAACGAAAGCACUUGCAAACCAUUCCCAGAGUUUAUUCAUACAACAUCACCAAAGAAGAAAUAGUUCGUAAUUACAUGAAAAAUAGAUAGAACCAAUAGAUAGAAGAAGCUGUUGGAUUGGAAAUGGAUGACGAAGGAACCAAGGGAGAUAGAACCAAUGAGGAGAGUCAGUUCAAUUGAAUAGUUCUGUCCUGAGUCCUGACAAAGCCAGGACAGGCUGCUCUCUUGACCAAAUUUUGAUACACAACAAAUGUAAGAUUCUGAUAAUGCUCAUGUACUAAAUAUUUUGUCAUCAGGAAGAAUGCUUUUCAUUACUCCCAAUGACUUCACUGGGAAGGAUCAUGUAACCUCAAAUUAAUAUUAUUUCCUAAUUGCAGUGCAGACUGUUACAUCAGAUGAUCAGAGUAAAAACAGCUCAUGUGAGAACUGAUACAGAGAGAAAUGUCUCACCAAUGCAUAUAUGGAGGCUCUCCUUCUCCACAUCUUAACCUUGGCGACUGGACAUAACUAAUGAUAUAUUUUCAAGAUUACUAUGGUUGGAGUCUUGGAGUAUUGAACAUGUUAUUCCAAGGAGGAAUAUACAUAGUGUUACGUGCGAGAAUAGGCAUCACUCCUACAUUGCUGUGGCUGGUCCAGCCUGGUUGCAGUCGAUGCUUGCGAAAGCGGAAAUGCUUGAUACAAGAGCACAGUAGUUUUAAUCAGUGUCUUUUUAUACUGACGGGUCCACCCCGUUAGUUCUCAUGUUUUGUCUUUUUGGCUGAUUCAGUUACUCUGUAGCAAACUCUGUUUUGGUCUUUGGAAUCAUUGAAAGUGUUAAAAAGCAAA